This 496-nucleotide ribosomal RNA is filed under the name uncultured bacterium. Its description in RNAcentral is "partial 16S ribosomal RNA". It matches the Rfam family "Bacterial small subunit ribosomal RNA", at positions 28 to 506 of the family's 1533-position model. The record is from RNAcentral.
GAUGAACGCUGGCGGCGUGCCUAAUACAUGCAAGUCGAGCGAACGGACGAGAAGCUUGCUUCUCUGAUGUUAGCGGCGGACGGGUGAGUAACACGUGGAUAACCUACCUAUAAGACUGGGAUAACUUCGGGAAACCGGAGCUAAUACCGGAUAAUAUUUUGAACCGCAUGGUUCAAAAGUGAAAGACGGUCUUGCUGUCACUUAUAGAUGGAUCCGCGCUGCAUUAGCUAGUUGGUAAGGUAACGGCUUACCAAGGCAACGAUGCAUAGCCGACCUGAGAGGGUGAUCGGCCACCCUGGAACUGAGACACGGUCCAGACUCCUACGGGAGGCAGCAGUAGGGAAUCUUCCGCAAUGAGCGAAAGCCUGACGGAGCAACGCCGCGUGAGUGAUGAAGGUCUUCGGAUCGUAAAACUCUGUUAUUAGGGAAGAACAUAUGUGUAAGUAACUGUGCACAUCUUGACGGUACCUAAUCAGAAAGCCACGGCUAACUACGU